GACGAACGCUGGCGGCGUGCUUAACACAUGCAAGUCGAACGGAAAGGCCCUGCUUUUGUGGGGUGCUCGAGUGGCGAACGGGUGAGUAACACGUGAGUAACCUGCCCUUGACUUUGGGAUAACUUCAGGAAACUGGGGCUAAUACCGGAUAGGAGCUCCUGCUGCAUGGUGGGGGUUGGAAAGUUUCGGCGGUUGGGGAUGGACUCGCGGCUUAUCAGCUUGUUGGUGGGGUAGUGGCUUACCAAGGCUUUGACGGGUAGCCGGCCUGAGAGGGUGACCGGCCACAUUGGGACUGAGAUACGGCCCAGACUCCUACGGGAGGCAGCAGUGGGGAAUAUUGCACAAUGGGCGGAAGCCUGAUGCAGCAACGCCGCGUGCGGGAUGACGGCCUUCGGGUUGUAAACCGCUUUCGCCUGUGACGAAGCGUGAGUGACGGUAAUGGGUAAAGAAGCACCGGCUAACUACGUGUCAGCAGCCGCGGUGAUACGUAGGGUGCGAGCGUUGUCCGGAUUUAUUGGGCGUAAAGGGCUCGUAGGUGGUUGAUCGCGUCGGAAGUGUAAUCUUGGGGCUUAACCCUGAGCGUGCUUUCGAUACGGGUUGACUUGAGGAAGGUAGGGGAGAAUGGAAUUCCUGGUGGAGCGGUGGAAUGCGCAGAUAUCAGGAGGAACACCAGUGGCGAAGGCGGUUCUCUGGGCCUUUCCUGACGCUGAGGAGCGAAAGCGUGGGGAGCGAACAGGCUUAGAUACCCUGGUAGUCCACGCUGUAAACGGUGGGUACUAGGUGUGGGGUCCAUUCCACGGGUUCCGUGCCGUAGCUAACGCUUUAAGUACCCCGCCUGGGGAGUACGGCCGCAAGGCUAAAACUCAAAGGAAUUGACGGGGCCCCGCACAAGCGGCGGAGCAUGCGGAUUAAUUCGAUGCAACGCGUAGAACCUUACCUGGGUUUGACAUGGAUCGGGAGCGCUCAGAGAUGGGUGUGCCUCUUUUGGGGUCGGUUCACAGGUGGUGCAUGGCUGUCGUCAGCUCGUGUCGUGAGAUGUUGGGUUAAGUCCCGCAACGAGCGCAACCCUUGUUCACUGUUGCCAGCACGUUAUGGUGGGGACUCAGUGGAGACCGCCGGGGUCAACUCGGAGGAAGGUGGGGAUGACGUCAAGUCAUCAUGCCCCUUAUGUCCAGGGCUUCACGCAUGCUACAAUGGCUGGUACAGAGAGUGGCGAGCCUGUGAGGGUGAGCGAAUCUCGGAAAGCCGGUCUCAGUUCGGAUUGGGGUCUGCAACUCGACCUCAUGAAGUCGGAGUCGCUAGUAAUCGCAGAUCAGCAACGCUGCGGUGAAUACGUUCCCGGGGCU
This 1346-nucleotide ribosomal RNA is filed under the name uncultured bacterium. RNAcentral describes it as "bacterial SSU rRNA". It matches the Rfam family "Bacterial small subunit ribosomal RNA", at positions 28 to 1381 of the family's 1533-position model. The record is from RNAcentral.